This 464-nucleotide ribosomal RNA is filed under the name Vreelandella stevensii. RNAcentral's name for it is "partial 16S ribosomal RNA". It matches the Rfam family "Bacterial small subunit ribosomal RNA", at positions 339 to 795 of the family's 1533-position model. The record is from RNAcentral. Lineage: Bacteria; Pseudomonadati; Pseudomonadota; Gammaproteobacteria; Oceanospirillales; Halomonadaceae.
UUACGGGAGGCUGCAGUGGGGAAUAUUGGACAAUGGGCGAAAGCCUGAUCCAGCCAUGCCGCGUGUGUGAAGAAGGCCUUCGGGUUGUAAAGCACUUUCAGUGGGGAAGAAAGCCUUGGGGCUAAUACCCUCGAGGAAGGACAUCACCCACAGAAGAAGCACCGGCUAACUCCGUGCCAGCAGCCGCGGUAAUACGGAGGGUGCGAGCGUUAAUCGGAAUUACUGGGCGUAAAGCGCGCGUAGGCGGUCUGAUAAGCCGGUUGUGAAAGCCCCGGGCUCAACCUGGGAACGGCAUCCGGAACUGUCAGGCUAGAGUGCAGGAGAGGAAGGUAGAAUUCCCGGUGUAGCGGUGAAAUGCGUAGAGAUCGGGAGGAAUACCAGUGGCGAAGGCGGCCUUCUGGACUGACACUGACGCUGAGGUGCGAAAGCGUGGGUAGCAAACAGGAUUAGAUACCCCAGUAGUC